RNAcentral lists this ribosomal RNA (462 nucleotides) under uncultured bacterium. RNAcentral's name for it is "bacterial SSU rRNA". It matches the Rfam family "Bacterial small subunit ribosomal RNA", at positions 28 to 508 of the family's 1533-position model. The record is from RNAcentral.
GACAAACGCUGGCGGCGUGCAUAAAACAUGCAAGUCGAACGGACCUCAGUCCGCAAGGACUGAAGUGAGUGGCGAACGGCUGAGUAACACGUAGGUGACCUGCCCCGAAGUUUGGGAUAACAACUCGAAAGAGUUGCUAAUACCGGAUGUGACCACCGAUUCAUUUCGGUGCUUAAAGUCGUAAGACGCUUUGGGAGGGGCCUGCGGCGGAUUAGCUAGUUGGUGUGGUAACGGCAUACCAAGGCUUCGAUCCGUAGCUGGUCUGAGAGGAUGGCCAGCCAGACUGGGACUGAGACACGGCCCAGACUCCUACGGGAGGCAGCAGUUAGGAAUUUUGCGCAAUGGAGGAAACUCUGACGCAGCCACGCCGCGUGAGGGAUGAAGGCCUUCGGGUCGUAAACCUCUUUUCUCAGGGAAGACACCCGACGGUACCUGAGGAAUAAGCAACGGCUAACUACGUGC